This 389-nucleotide ribosomal RNA is filed under the name uncultured bacterium. RNAcentral's name for it is "bacterial SSU rRNA". It matches the Rfam family "Bacterial small subunit ribosomal RNA", at positions 28 to 419 of the family's 1533-position model. The record is from RNAcentral.
GACGUACGCUGGCGGCGUGCUUAACACAUGCAAGUCGAGCGGUAAGGCCCUUUCGGGGGUACACGAGCGGCGAACGGGUGAGUAACACGUGGGUGACCUGCCCUCAGCUCUGGGAUAAGCCUGGGAAACCGGGUCUAAUACCGGAUAUGACUCCAUGACGCAUGUUGUGGGGUGGAAAGCCUUGUGCGGCUGAGGAUGGGCCCGCGGCCUAUCAGCUUGUUGGUGGGGUGAGGCCUACCAAGGCGACGACGGGUAGCCGGCCUGAGAGGGCGACCGGCCACACUGGGACUGAGACACGGCCCAGACUCCUACGGGAGGCAGCAGUGGGGAAUCUUGCGCAAUGGGCGAAAGCCUGACGCAGCGACGCCGCGUGAGGGAUGACGGCCUGG